UGGGGUAUAGCUGGAAGGUCAAGCAACAGACCGUUAAUCUGUGGAUGAAGGUUCAAUUCCUUCUCCCCCAGCCA
Molecule: transfer RNA, 74 nt
Filed under: Crassvirales sp.
Lineage: Duplodnaviria; Heunggongvirae; Uroviricota; Caudoviricetes; Crassvirales
Description: tRNA-Asn
Rfam family: tRNA
About the family: Transfer RNA (tRNA) molecules are approximately 80 nucleotides in length. Their secondary structure includes four short double-helical elements and three loops (D, anti-codon, and T loops). Further hydrogen bonds mediate the characteristic L-shaped molecular structure. tRNAs have two regions of fundamental functional importance: the anti-codon, which is responsible for specific mRNA codon recognition, and the 3' end, to which the tRNAs corresponding amino acid is attached (by aminoacyl-tRNA synthetases). tRNAs cope with the degeneracy of the genetic code in two manners: having more than one tRNA (with a specific anti-codon) for a particular amino acid; and 'wobble' base-pairing, i.e. permitting non-standard base-pairing at the 3rd anti-codon position.
Source: RNAcentral